GACGAACGCUGGCGGCGUGCUUAACACAUGCAAGUCGAACGGUGAAGGCGGAGCUUGCUCUGCCGGAUCAGUGGCGAACGGGUGAGUAACACGUGGGCAACCUGCCCCUCACUUCGGGAUAACUCCGGGAAACCGGGGCUAAUACCGGAUACGACCUCCUUGGGCAUCUUUGGAGGUGGAAAGUUUUUCGGUGAGGGAUGGGCCCGCGGCCUAUCAGCUUGCUGGUGAGGUAGUGGCUCACCAAGGCGACGACGGGUAGCCGGCCUGAGAGGGCGACCGGCCACACUGGGACUGAGACACGGCCCAGACUCCUACGGGAGGCAGCAGUGGGGAAUAUUGCGCAAUGGGCGAAAGCCUGACGCAGCAACGCCGCGUGCGGGAUGAAGGCCUUCGGGUUGUAAACCGCUUUCAGCAGGGAGGAAGCCGCAAGGUGACGGUACCUGCAGAAGAAGCACCGGCUAACUACGUGCCAGCCGCCGCGGUAA
Molecule: ribosomal RNA, 485 nt
Filed under: uncultured bacterium
Lineage: Bacteria
Description: partial 16S ribosomal RNA
Rfam family: Bacterial small subunit ribosomal RNA
Source: RNAcentral